AUGGCCUCGUCCGCAUCCUUGCUCCACGCUUCCACGCUCGCUCCAGCCUCCUCGCGGCCCCUGCCGCGUCGCGGGCUUGCCCCGCCGCAGCUCGGCCUCCGCUCCAGCCCCCGCCGUCCCCGCGGCGUCUCGCUGACCGUCGCCGCCGCCGCGUCGCCGGACGUCGAGAAGGCGCCCUCCUCGUCACCCCCUGCGCCUUCGGACGAGCCCUCCGACCUAUCGGCCGUGGCGGAGAGCGUGAAGGUGCUCAAGGACGCGGCCAAGACGAGGAAGGUGCCGGCCCCGGAGGUGCUGGCGGCGCUGGCCAAGAUCAAGAAGGCCAAGCUCGACACCUCCAGCUUCUUCGAGACCCUCGGCGGGACCGAGUCCCCCGGCAGGACAUGGAUGCUCAUCUUCACCGCCCAGGGUAGUAAGCUCGAGAAAGGCAGCUACUUCCCGGUGACCGCCGUCCAGCGCUUCGACGCCGCGGGGCAGAGGAUUGAGAACGGGGUGUACCUGGGCCCGGCGGGGAGCCUGACCUUCGAGGGGCGGCUGUCAUGGAAGAAGAAGAUCCUGGCCUUCGUCUUCGAGCGGAUCCGCGUCAAGGUCGGUCCGCUGCCCUCCCUGGAGAUCCCCUUCGGCGGCGGCGACAAGAGCAGGGAGCCGAGCACCAAGGACCCCUUCUUCCUGUGGUUCUACGUCGACGAGGAGAUUGCCGUGGCGCAGGGCAAGGGCGGCGGCACCGCAUUCUGGUGCCGCUGCAGGCGCGUCCCGGCAUGA
Molecule: ribosomal RNA, 759 nt
Filed under: Triticum aestivum (bread wheat)
Lineage: Eukaryota; Viridiplantae; Streptophyta; Magnoliopsida; Poales; Poaceae
Description: partial small subunit ribosomal RNA
Source: RNAcentral